GUGCCUAACACAUGCAAGUCGAACGCGAAAGCCUCCUUCGGGGGGCGAGUAGAGUGGCGACCGGGUGAGUAACGCGUGGGUGAUCUACCUUUGGGUGGGGAAUAGCCGUGGGAAACCGCGGCUAAUACCGCAUAAGAUCAUUGAUUUACGGAUCAAUGAUGAAAGCGGGGGAUCUUUUCGGAGACCUCGCGCCCGAAGAGGGGCCCGCGUCUGAUUAGCUAGUCGGCGGGGUAAUGGCCCACCGAGGCAGUGAUCAGUAGCUGGUCUGAGAGGACGGCCAGCCACAUUGGCACUGACACACGGGCCAAACUCCUACGGGAGGCAGCAGUGGGGAAUUUUGGGCAAUGGGCGCAAGCCUGACCCAGCAACGCCGCGUGAGCGAUGAAGUCCUUCGGGAUGUAAAGCUCGGAAGCCGGGGACGAAGUAGGCAGGAUUAAUAGCCCUGCCUGUUGACGGUACCCGGUCUAAGCCCCGGCUAACUACGUGCCAGCAGCCGCGGUAAUACGUAGGGGGCAAGCGUUGUUCGGAAUUACUGGGCGUAAAGGGCGCGUAGGCGGCCAUUCAAGUCAGCCGUGAAAGGCCUGGGCUCAACCUGGGAAUUGCGGUUGGGACUGAGUGGCUAGAGAGCGGGAGAGGAUGGUGGAAUUCCCAGUGUAGAGGUGAAAUUCGUAGAUAUUGGGAAGAACACCGGUGGCGAAGGCGGCCAUCUGGACCGUAUCUGACGCUGAGGCGCGAAAGCGUGGGGAGCAAACAGGAUUAGGUACCCUGGUAGUCCACGCUGUAAACGAUGAGUGCUGGACGUUGGUGGGCUUGCCUGCCGGUGUCGCAGCUAACGCGUUAAGCACUCCGCCUGGGGAGUACGGCCGCAAGGUUGAAACUCAAAGGAAUUGACGGGGGCCCGCACAAGCGGUGGAGCAUGUGGUUUAAUUCGACGCAACGCGCAGAACCUUACCAGCCCUUGACAUGCCGUGCGAACCGCAGAGAUGCGGUGUUCCUUUCGGGGACGCGGACACAGGUGCUGCAUGGCUGUCGUCAGCUCGUGUCGUGAGAUGUUGGGUUAAGUCCCGCAACGAGCGCAACCCUCGUCUCCAGUUGCCAUCGGGUUAAGCCGGGCACUUUGGAGAAACUGCCGGUGACAAGCCGGAGGAAGGUGGGGAUGACGUCAAGUCCUCAUGGCCCCUACGGGCUGGGCUACACACGUGCUACAAUGGCGGUGACAGAGGGGAGCGAGGCAGCAAUGCCAAGCCGAUCUCAAAAAGCCGUCUCAGUUCGGAUUGCGCUCUGCAACCCGGGCGCAUGAAGGUGGAUCGCUAGUAAUCCGGAUCAGCAUGCCGCGGUGAUACGUUCCCGGCAUUGACACACCGC
This 1365-nucleotide ribosomal RNA is filed under the name uncultured bacterium. RNAcentral describes it as "partial 16S ribosomal RNA". It matches the Rfam family "Bacterial small subunit ribosomal RNA", at positions 44 to 1393 of the family's 1533-position model. The record is from RNAcentral.